UGAAGAGAGGAGCUUGCUCUUCUUGGAUGAGUGCGAACGGGUGAGUAACGCGUAGGUAACCUGCCUGGUAGCGGGGGAUAACUAUUGGAAACGAUAGCUAAUACCGCAUAAAAUUGAUUAUCGCAUGAUAAUCCAUUGAAAGGUGCAAAUGCAUCACUACCAGAUGGACCUGCGUUGUAUGAGCUAGUUGGUGGGGUAACGGCUCACCAAGGCGACGAUACAUAGCCGACCUGAGAGGGUGAUCGGCCACACUGGGACUGAGACACGGCCCAGACUCCUACGGGAGGCAGCAGUAGGGAAUCUUCGGCAAUGGACGGAAGUCUGACCGAGCAACGCCGCGUGAGUGAAGAAGGUUUUCGGAUCGUAAAGCUCUGUUGUAAGAGAAGAACGAGUGUGAGAGUGGAAAGUUCACACUGUGACGGUAUCUUACCAGAAAGGGACGGCUAACUACGUGCCAGCAGCCGCGGUAAUACGUAGGUCCCGAGCGUUGUCCGGAUUUAUUGGGCGUAAAGCGAGCGCAGGCGGUUAGAUAAGUGCUGAAGUUAAAGGCUGUGGCUUAACCAUAGUACGCUUUGGUAACUGUUUAACUUGAGUGCAAGAGGGGAGAGUGGAAUUCCAUGUGUAGCGGUGAAAUGCGUAGAUAUAUGGAGGAACACCGGUGG
This 662-nucleotide ribosomal RNA is filed under the name uncultured Bacilli bacterium. RNAcentral's name for it is "bacterial SSU rRNA". It matches the Rfam family "Bacterial small subunit ribosomal RNA", at positions 67 to 715 of the family's 1533-position model. Lineage: Bacteria; Bacillati; Bacillota; Bacilli. The record is from RNAcentral.